UGGGGGAAUAUUGCACAAUGGGCGCAAGCCUGAUGCAGCGAUGCCGCGUGAGGGAAGAAGGUUUUCGGAUUGUAAACCUCUGUCAUCAGGGACGAAAAAAGACGGUACCUGAGAAGGAAGCUCCGGCUAACUACGUGCCAGCAGCCGCGGUAAUACGUAGGUGGCAAGCGUUAUCCGGAUUUACUGGGUGUAAAGGGCGCGUAGGCGGGGAUGCAAGUCAGAUGUGAAAUCUAUGGGCUUAACCCAUAAACUGCAUUUGAAACUGUAUCUCUUGAGUGCUGGAGAGGUAGAUGGAAUUCCUUGUGUAGCGGUGAAAUGCGUAGAUAUAAGGAAGACACCAGUGCGAAGGCGAUCUACUGGACAGUAACUGACGCUGAGGCGCGAG
RNAcentral lists this ribosomal RNA (385 nucleotides) under uncultured Oscillospiraceae bacterium. RNAcentral's name for it is "bacterial SSU rRNA". It matches the Rfam family "Bacterial small subunit ribosomal RNA", at positions 354 to 757 of the family's 1533-position model. The record is from RNAcentral. Lineage: Bacteria; Bacillati; Bacillota; Clostridia; Eubacteriales; Oscillospiraceae.